UACGUAGGGCGCAAGCGUUAUCCGGAAUUAUUGGGACGUAAAGAGCUCGUAGGUCGGUUUGUCGCGUCUGCCGUGAAACGUCCGGGGCUCAAACUCCGGGAUCUGCGGUGGGUACGGGCAGACUAGAGGUAGGCGAGUGAGGGGGAGACUUGGGAAGUUCCUGGUGUAGCGGUGGAAAUGCGCAGAUAUCAGGAGGAACACCGGUGGCGAAGGCGGGUCUCUGGGCAGUAAACUGACGCU
Molecule: ribosomal RNA, 240 nt
Filed under: uncultured bacterium
Lineage: Bacteria
Description: partial 16S ribosomal RNA
Rfam family: Bacterial small subunit ribosomal RNA
Source: RNAcentral